UAUGCAAAAGCACCUCUGAAAUCGCUACUCAAUCACAAUCAACUCCACUCUCUGAAGUCUCAAGUCGCAACCACUGUCUCAAUCGCAACUCCACUCUUUGAAAUCGAGGAUGACGCCUCCCUCCCUCGCUGGAAAUCGACGACGACGACACCUUCCUUGCUCGACGACGAGACGACGCCUCCUUCCCUCGUCGGAAAUCGAUGACGACGACACCUCCCUUGCUCGAAAUCGACAACAGUGACGCCUCUUUCCCUCGCUUAAGCUUUGUAAAGGAUCCUCCAAAUUUGGAAGUUUUGUUUUGAUUAUUUGAUUGGAAGUUGCAGAAUUAUUUUACUCGAAUUCUGGAAGAUAAUUUGAAGUGCUGAUGUUAGCAUGAUGAUGUCAGCGGUCCAACUGGCCGAUUCGACCGGUAGAUUGGACUGUUCGACUCAUGACCCAGGCAGCAGAACGGGUUGCCCUUCGAUUCAGGUUUUAAAACAGUGAGACCGUGUUGCAUAUUAAUUUUUUAAUGUUCCAAAAUACGCAUUCUAAUAUAGAAUACAUUUAGUUUUAUCAAUUUUUUUAAUUUAUUU
Long non-coding RNA from Pistacia vera, 572 nucleotides. RefSeq lists it as uncharacterized. The transcript has 3 exons. The record is from RefSeq and is a predicted model, not a curated record. Lineage: Eukaryota; Viridiplantae; Streptophyta; Magnoliopsida; Sapindales; Anacardiaceae.